RNAcentral lists this ribosomal RNA (450 nucleotides) under uncultured bacterium. Its description in RNAcentral is "partial 16S ribosomal RNA". It matches the Rfam family "Bacterial small subunit ribosomal RNA", at positions 354 to 796 of the family's 1533-position model. The record is from RNAcentral.
GUGGGGAAUCUUCCGCAAUGGACGAAAGUCUGACGGAGCAACGCCGCGUGAGUGAUGACGGCCUUCGGGUUGUAAAGCUCUGUGAUCGGGGACGAAUGGCUGGUAUGCUAAUACCAUAUCAGAGUGACGGUACCCGAAUAGCAAGCCACGGCUAACUACGUGCCAGCAGCCGCGGUAAUACGUAGGUGGCAAGCGUUGUCCGGAAUUAUUGGGCGUAAAGCGCGCGCAGGCGGCUUCUUAAGUCCAUCUUAAAAGUGCGGGGCUUAACCCCGUGAUGGGAUGGAAACUGGGAGGCUGGAGUAUCGGAGAGGAAAGUGGAAUUCCUAGUGUAGCGGUGAAAUGCGUAGAGAUUAGGAAGAACGCCGGUGGCGAAGGCGACUUUCUGGACGAUGUCUGACGCUGAGGCGCGAAAGCUAGGGGAGCGAACGGGAUUAGAAACCCCUGUAGUCC